This 426-nucleotide ribosomal RNA is filed under the name uncultured bacterium. RNAcentral describes it as "bacterial SSU rRNA". It matches the Rfam family "Bacterial small subunit ribosomal RNA", at positions 8 to 436 of the family's 1533-position model. The record is from RNAcentral.
AGAGUUUGAUCCUGGCUCAGGACGAACGCUGGCGGCGUGCUUAACACAUGCAAGUCGAACGGAAAGGCCUCUUCGGAGGUACUCGAGUGGCGAACGGGUGAGUAACACGUGGGUAAUCUGCCCUGCACUUCGGGAUAAGCCUGGGAAACUGGGUCUAAUACCGAAUACGACCAUUUAGCGCAUGCUUUAUGGUGGAAAGCUUUUGCGGUGUGGGAUGGGCCCGCGGCCUAUCAGCUUGUUGGUGGGGUGACGGCCUACCAAGGCGACGACGGGUAGCCGGCCUGAGAGGGUGUCCGGCCACACUGGGACUGAGAUACGGCCCAGACUCCUACGGGAGGCAGCAGUGGGGAAUAUUGCACAAUGGGCGCAAGCCUGAUGCAGCGACGCCGCGUGGGGGAUGAAGGCCUUCGGGUUGUAAACCUCUUC